UGGGGAAUCUUGCACAAUGGGCGGAAGCCUGAUGCAGCGACGCCGCGUGAGGGACGAAGGUCUUCGGAUCGUAAACCUCUGUCCAAAGGGACGAAGGAGUGACGGUACCUUUGGAGGAAGCCCCGGCCAACUACGUGCCAGCAGCCGCGGUAAGACGUAGGGGGCGAGCGUUGUCCGGAAUCAUUGGGCGUAAAGGGCGCGUAGGCGGUGACGUAAGUCAGGCGUGAAAGGCAUCGGCUCAACCGACGCACAUAGCCUGAUACUACGUUGCUAGAGUGCAGGAGAGGAGAGUGGAAUUCCAGGUGUAGCGGUGAAAUGCGUAGAUAUCUGGAAGAACACCAGUGGCGAAGGCGGCUCUCUGGACUGUAACUGACGCUGAGGCGCGAAAGCUGGGGGAGCA
This 400-nucleotide ribosomal RNA is filed under the name uncultured bacterium. RNAcentral's name for it is "bacterial SSU rRNA". It matches the Rfam family "Bacterial small subunit ribosomal RNA", at positions 355 to 770 of the family's 1533-position model. The record is from RNAcentral.